Molecule: long non-coding RNA, 1561 nt
Filed under: Pan troglodytes (chimpanzee)
Lineage: Eukaryota; Metazoa; Chordata; Mammalia; Primates; Hominidae
Description: lncRNA (ENSPTRG00000053286.1)
Source: RNAcentral
GUCUCCGUGCAUGGUCUCUCUUGGUAUUCUGUAAUUUAAAUUGAAAGUUGCUCUAAGUGUAUAAACAGUACCCUUAUAAUAUUAUGUACCAAAGGAAAAUAAGAAUACUAGCAAGAUAAAAUUAACUGCCAGCUUCUAUCCAACAUGUUUAGGAUGACAACAGCACAAGGAAUAUGGUAUCUGGCAUAUGAGGGAGCACCCUGAACAGUGUUCAGGAGGGACUGCCUCAUGUAGCUUUUCUUUUCUGCUCUUCUAAGCUUGUUGAUUAUUUUUCAAGUCAUAAAAUAAAUCCCCAAACUCUUCCCACAGGCUUCCUGUUAUGGCAAUGGAAAGGAUUCUAGGAAAGGAUGCCAACAGGCCAGAUGUCAUCUUUUUUGGUGGGCUGUACACAUCAGACUGGACUUGCCUUAAAUGAGAUUCAGACAAUCCUUUUUGCCAAAUGCCCAACAAGAAAGGAGCAGUUAUGCAGAACUUGUGGUAGAAGGAGGGAAACUGAGGACCUUAGACAUCUCCGUCUGAUGAGUAACUGCUACCAGUCACAGCUUGGAGAGCUGGACACUUCACCACUCAGGUCAACAGAUGUCUGAAAAUAACAGCAAGAAAGAAAUGAAAAAGAAUCUCCCACAGAGGUAUGUUAUAUCAUUUCCCCGCAAGUCUUUUAACACAGGGUGGAUGAACAGCUCUCUAGCAUUAUGUGAAUGGGAGGCUGCCUAAAGGAAGGGAAAUGGGUUGGAUAAUUUGGGGACUCCCUCAGCUAAUUUAGAAAAUUCUCUGUUUUUUUCAAUGGUGUGGGUUCUUGGAAGAAAAUGAAGAGCAUGGGGAAGAAUCCUCAAGAGAUUGCAAGCUUUGAUCAAGUGUGCUCCUAAAGGGAAACAUUAAAGACAGUCUUUAAAACAAACAAACAAAAAACAAAUAAAAAGCCUAUUCUGAAAGUCCAUAUUAAAUUCUUAUUUAUAGAUACUAAUAGAUGGUAGCUCAUGGAGUUAGGGGCAAAGAGAGGUGCUUAGGAAAGGUCUGCUUCUAUCAGAAAAGGUAUGAUUUAAAAUAUUAUAAUUUAAUUUUAACCUAAUGCUCUUUUUGCAAAUAUCUUCCACCACCUUCUCUAAACUCAGAGCUCCCUAGUAUAAACAGUUUUCUGUGCUUGUUAUAGUAGAGUUACCUCAGGUCUCCAGGUCUCACUGGCCCAGGGAGGACAACAAAGCCAUUGCCAAACAAAGGUACAGUAAUGCCCAGAAUGCUCAUUGUAUUAAAUUCCUUCCAUCUGAUUAAGAGGACACUGGGGAGUCUCCUUUGUCCUCCUGAAAACCAUGAUGCUCUAUGCCCAUGCUGUAUGGAAUGUAUUAUUUUCUCUUUAAUUCCUAAUACGCUGUUCCCUGAUCACUGCAUUGGCAGCCUUGAGCUCUAAGUUUUCUUUCCUAGAGCUUUUAAAAUGUUUAUUUAUUUGACCCAAACUUUACUAGAGAUUCUAAUUCCAGAUUAAGGGCCUUGACUUCAGUAACCAGAUUCAACAGAUAAAAUACUGGAUCCCCCAUUAAAUUUGAAUUUUAGGUAAACAUUGACU